RNAcentral lists this ribosomal RNA (450 nucleotides) under uncultured bacterium. RNAcentral's name for it is "partial 16S ribosomal RNA". It matches the Rfam family "Bacterial small subunit ribosomal RNA", at positions 354 to 796 of the family's 1533-position model. The record is from RNAcentral.
GUGGGGAAUAUUGGACAAUGGGCGAAAGCCUGAUCCAGCCAUGCCGCGUGUGUGAAGAAGGUCUUCGGAUUGUAAAGCACUUUAAGUUGGGAGGAAGGGCAGUAAGUUAAUACCUUGCUGUUUUGACGUUACCGACAGAAUAAGCACCGGCUAACUUCGUGCCAGCAGCCGCGGUAAUGCGAAGGGUGCAAGCGUUAAUCGGAAUUACUGGGCGUAAAGCGCGCGUAGGUGGUUUUGUAAGUUGGAGGUGAAAUCCCCGGGCUCAACCUGGGAACUGCCUCCAAAACUGCAUGACUAGAGUACGGUAGAGGGUAGUGGAAUUUCCUGUGUAGCGGUGAAAUGCGUAGAUAUAGGAAGGAACACCAGUGGCGAAGGCGACUACCUGGACUGAUACUGACACUGAGGUGCGAAAGCGUGGGGAGCAAACAGGAUUAGAUACCCUAGUAGUCC